Molecule: ribosomal RNA, 253 nt
Filed under: uncultured bacterium
Lineage: Bacteria
Description: partial 16S ribosomal RNA
Rfam family: Bacterial small subunit ribosomal RNA
Source: RNAcentral
UACAGAGGGGGCAAGCGUUGUUCGGAAUUACUGGGCGUAAAGGGCGCGUAGGCGGCCUGCUAAGUCGAACGUGAAAUCCCUGGGCUCAACCCAGGAACUGCGUCCGAUACUGGUUGGCUUGAAUCCGGGAGAGGGAUGUGGAAUUCCAGGUGUAGCGGUGAAAUGCGUAGAUAUGCGGAGGAACACCGAUGACGAAGGCAAUCCCCUGGGCCUGCACUGACGCUCAUGCACGAAAGCGUGGGGAGCAAACAGG